CAGGUCAAAAGCUACCAGCUCGCUGAGCAGCUACAAUGCUAAUCGAGGUGACUGGGUGAAAGCUAACUCAGCAGCCGUCCGUUGGUAUAGUUGUGUGCAGUUAGCUAGCAUGCUAACAGACAGGCUAACAACUCAUCCUUUGACGACAGGAGUGGGAGGAGACCGUGAACACGGGUUCAGUGAGCUGCUGCUGGACUCAUUCAAUAUAGACAAAAUAUCACAAUGUGUCACGUUACGUUUUGUGGUAUUUUUUUCUUUUGGUGUAUCUUUAGUUUGCGAUUCAGUUGUCACUACGUAGCAAGAAGUUCAUGCUUUUAAGUUUGAUAGUUUUAUAUUUAAUAAUAAAGCUUUAAUAAUAAAGCACGUCUCAAAAUCGUCCAUAUGAGUGAGAUGUAUAAAUCAGCUGUGGACAGGAGCUGGGAUUUUAUUAGGACAACUACCAGACAUAUUUUUUUAUUAUAUUAUACUAUUAAACAAAAACAUAGUUGGAUUUUUUUUUCUUAUGAUCACAAAACAAAUAUCCGUAACAAACCUAUGUAUUAAUGAAGAAAAUACUCAAAAUAGUAGUAAAAAAAUGCAAAAAAAAAAAAAAGAUUAAUAGAUAAAAUAAAUGUGAUCAGUUUCCAAGAUGAGAACACUGAUAUUAUUUAAUUAUGUAUAGCAGUGAUUAUCUUAUCUGUGGAAUAUCUCAAAACAUACAAGUAUAGUAACUUUAUUAGCAAUGUCAUUAAUUACCACAUAGUAAUAUAGAUUAUUUUAUAGAUGUAAAAAAAUAUAUAUUCCUAUUUGCUAUUCAGUUUAGUAGACUGAAUAACUGAAGCAGACUAUAUUUGUCGUUACACAUGAAAACAAACGGCAUCCAGGUGUUUAAUAUGACCUUCUGACAGUUAGCAAGUGUUCGCAGACCCACAGCUAUCUGUUUAACUAGCGUUUUAAUGUUUGGUUUGGAUUAGACAUUGUAGUUUUAUCGGGGAAUGAUGUGACCAAAACCAAAUUGAUUAAAUGGAAUGCUAAAUAUUUGUAAUCUGAUUCUGAUAUUUUCGUCUGUUCAUUUUAUAAUACAUUGAAUGGGGUAAAAAGAUUUCUCUCUUCUUUUGAAUUAAAAAAAAAACUUUUUAUAGAGACAUUACUUAUGGUCUCUCAGUUCACACAUUCAUUGCAAAGUAAACAGUCAGUGUUCACAUCUGUUACCAAGCAAUUGUAUAUUGUUACUUUUUGUUUUUAAUGAUUUUUUUAUGGUUUAGAACACUGUUACAAAGAACGGCAAUGCAGAUAGAUGAUGGCUAGCUUAAUCUAAUGCUACAUACACAUUAGGUCUAAUCCAGGUCUCUGGUAAAUACUGUACAUUAAUUGCUUGAUCAUUAAUGGUUUUAUUUUCACUGCGCACUUUCGGUUUAAGAGAUCUAGCAGUCCUAGCAUCAGAUCAAAGGUGCUGAGUGUGACUUCUGUUAUGAUCAUGUUAUGUUAGACUACUGUGUCUUCUUGUUCUAGUCAGGCAGCAGACACAUUUUCAAUAUGUAUACACCUGAUUAACUCAAUUAUCUGCUCCAUGGCCUUGGCUUGUCACCAAUUAACUAAAUCUUUUCUGAGACUACAAGUUAAACAGCAAGAAACGCCUAUCACAGUCUAGAGCCUUGCCCUCAAAACUACUACACUAGUCUAUAAAAACAACAGUUUUUGGAGCAACACCUACACAUCCAGCAGUUCAGCAACCACAUCCUACUGUAGCAUUAUGGAUAUUAAAUGGUCACCUAAUGGACACCAACAAACUGCUACUAUACUGUGCACUAAAAUGCACAUUGGUCAUAUAAUGCAUCUGCUGACAUUUGCACUCAGGGUCUUUAACUGUACUAAUGCACACAUUUGCAGUCACCUCUGACUGUGCACUUCCAAUUCAAUCUACAUUUUUACCACAUUGACCUCAUACUUAACACACCAUAGCUUUAGGAUGGUUUACUGCUAAAUUAUGUUUGUUUUAAUUUCGUAUUGUGUUCACAACCUACGCACCUUGGUCUAUAGUAAAAGCAAUUCGUUCUUUUGUAUACUGUGUAUGUAAAACAAAUGACAAUAAAACAUAAGUUGUCUUGUAA
Tachysurus vachellii is the source of this 2090-nucleotide long non-coding RNA. RefSeq lists it as uncharacterized. The record is from RefSeq and is a predicted model, not a curated record. Lineage: Eukaryota; Metazoa; Chordata; Actinopteri; Siluriformes; Bagridae. The transcript is spliced from 2 exons.